CCCGGCUGAGACGAGGGCACUGACUAGAAAGGCAGUCGGGGGUAGUUGUGUGCGUGCCUUUGACAACACCUAGGUCCCACCUUUGCACAGCGUCCCCGCCUGCUGCCGCCCCUCGUGGAGGAAAUCCGUUCCGCUCGGCCGGCUUCCCGCCCAGGCGGCCUGGGGUGCGAAGGCUUCGUUUUCCCAUUCCCGCUGCUUCCGGUCCUGAUGGAGGGAGGCGGGCGAAGGGCCUGGGGCCUUCGGCAGCGGAAGAGGCCGCUGAGCGGGCGAGCCCCAUGGUGGUGGCCUGUAGGAGCUGCAGACCCACUCGCUCCGGCCUCCCUUGCAGGCCCCGACCCCUUGGGACUUUGCGCGGCAAAGGUCAGGCCCGCCAUCACCCCAGCCCAGGCCUAGUAGCUUCCAGGAGGCGCGUGCGGGACAGAGGCCCUGCCGGGAAGCUGGCCCCCAGCCCCAUGCAGUCCUGCCUGUUGGAGGUGUGGAAACGGCUCGGGCGCUUGGGGACCUCGUGGAAAUGAGCACAGCUCUGGUGUUACAAGGUGGCGGCCCUCCUGGGCAGCGGGUUUCCUCCUGAGAACUGGCCUUCAAGACUUACGUGUCUGUUGUCGGUCAGAACAGGUGUUAGGCUCAAAAGCUACUACGGGGAGAUUGGGACAGAGUCCCACAGAGUCAGCAUCAGCUUUGGAGGUCAAGGGUGGCGUCAGCCCUUCUUCCCCUGGAUGGACCACUUUUUCCACCUGUGGAGAGGAGUGACACAACUUGCACCUUGGGUGAACAGUCCUUUAGCCUAGAGGACAGACAGCAUUGAGUCUCUCUCUGGUACCUCUUGGAGGCCACAACCCUAGCUUUAGGUCCUCUGGUGGAUGAGCACCAAGUGAGGAGGACUUGCCCUAGCUGUGCUGAGUGGAGGACAGAUGGCUCGUGGUGAUGUGCUGAGUCUAGUUGUCUGUGUGACAUAGUGACAGUCCCUGGGGGGAGGUGGAGGGCUUCCCAGAGAGGUGACCAGAACUAAGCCCUGAGGAUGAGAAGAGUCCUGGAAGCGGGAGUGGCUGUCCUUGUUCAGGAGCCACUGGGAAGCCCAGGAUGGGACAGCAGUGCACCAAGCAAGUGUGGGGCCUUUCUGAGUGUGGCUGUCUGUCGGUUCUGGUUCACAGUGGCUCUUUUUUGUUUUUUUUCCUUUGCUUUUGGUACCAGGGCUCGAACCCAGGACCUUGCACUUGGAGGCAGCUGCGGUGCC
This is a long non-coding RNA of Heterocephalus glaber (naked mole-rat), 1234 nucleotides long. The record is from Ensembl. NCBI's taxonomy places the organism in Eukaryota, Metazoa, Chordata, Mammalia, Rodentia, Bathyergidae.